This is a long non-coding RNA of Sarcophilus harrisii (Tasmanian devil), 423 nucleotides long. RefSeq lists it as uncharacterized. The transcript has 3 exons. Lineage: Eukaryota; Metazoa; Chordata; Mammalia; Dasyuromorphia; Dasyuridae. The record is from RefSeq and is a predicted model, not a curated record.
GGCUUCCUGUAGAAAGUGGGACUCUGACUGGGACAUGAAGGAAGCAAGGGAGCCCAGAAGCAGAAAUGAGGAAGGAGGGAGUUCUAGGCAAGGAAGAAAGAGAAUAGGAGCUGCUGGCACAUAGGGGAUCACAGCUUCCCUUGAACAGAGGGAGAGGACAGAUGGAUGGACCAUUGGACUACUGCAGUAAUUCAGGAGUGAAGUGAUGAAGCUCUUUACCAGGAUGGUGACAGUGGUAGAGGAGAGGAGAUACACCAAAAAGAGGUUGCUGAGAAAUCAUCCAGGCUGGGGUCUGUGAAGAAAAUAUGGACAAGAGUGAGAUAAGAGCAGAGGCUUCUAUACUCCCCUCCCCAAGGUGGUCCCAUUAGCAUCCCUGCACAUCCCAGGCCCUACCAGAUGCUCCUCAAGACCUCCUCACCAUAA